UGGGGAAUCUUCCGCAAUGGACGAAAGUCUGACGGAGCAACGCCGCGUGAACGAUGACGGCCUUCGGGUUGUAAAGUUCUGUUAUACGGGACGAAUGGUACGACGGUCAAUACCCGUCGUAAGUGACGGUACCGUAAGAGAAAGCCACGGCUAACUACGUGCCAGCAGCCGCGGUAAUACGUAGGUGGCAAGCGUUGUCCGGAAUUAUUGGGCGUAAAGGGCGCGCAGGCGGCGUCGUAAGUCGGUCUUAAAAGUGCGGGGCUUAACCCCGUGAGGGGACCGAAACUGCGAUGCUAGAGUAUCGGAGAGGAAAGCGGAAUUCCUAGUGUAGCGGUGAAAUGCGUAGAUAUUAGGAGGAACACCAGUGGCGAAAGCGGCUUUCUGGACGACAACUGACGCUGAGGCGCGAAAGCCAGGGGAGCAAACGGG
This 429-nucleotide ribosomal RNA is filed under the name uncultured bacterium. RNAcentral describes it as "bacterial SSU rRNA". It matches the Rfam family "Bacterial small subunit ribosomal RNA", at positions 355 to 776 of the family's 1533-position model. RNAcentral also lists the same sequence under 1 other name. The record is from RNAcentral.